UCAGGCUAAGCCCUUUUAUACACAGGUGGGCUCUGCCUCCGGCUUUCCUAUUGGUCUAUAUUUUUAACUCUAUCUCUUCCCCCUGUUCAAAUAUUUUCUAAACAAACGGGCAAAUGCCACAGGGCCCAACUGGGCACCAUAGAGAAGUUGUGAAGGGACAAUCUCCUAGUGCAAAGAUGGCCUCCUACUUUCCCACCUAGCGUGCUCCCUGAACUGCUGGACUGAUGAGGUAUUGUGAGAGGCAUUUGGUUCCUCAGGGGAAGGAACCCAUGAGAGUCCUGGCUUUGAUUCUAUGGGCUUUGCUCCCAUGGAAGAUUGUUCUGUGGGUUCCUGUCUGUCAGCUUCAGACUGAUUGGGUUUCUGCUCUCCAGAAGCAGCUUCACAACCCUGAAACUAGUCCAGCUCCUUGGGGGAUGGAAUGGAAGUCCAGCAAGCAAACACCAGACCUCUUUUUUCAAUCAGUAGCUGAGCUGAAUUCCACACAGUCACAAAAACAAAAAAGCCACAGAAGGAAAAUCGCAAAAUAAAUAGCAAAAACAGACAGGCCUCAGCGUAACACUCAAAAAGGUAGUGUGGCACUCAAACUGGAAGCGUAACACUCAAAACAGAGCACGAUUGACUUCCGAAAAAAGUUUGCAAACCAUAACACUUCCGGGUUAGCAGUGUUUGGGUUCCAAGUUGUUUGAGUACCAAGGCGUUUGAGAACCAAGGGACCACUGUAUAUGGUAUGCCCCGUGGAGGACCUUAAGGUCCACAAAUGGCAACAUUUUGGAGGUCCCAGGUCGCAAGGUGGUUAGAUUGGUCUCAACUAGAGCCAGGGCCUUUUCAGUACUGGCCCUGACUUGGUGGAACGCUCCGUCACAAGAGACUAGGGCCCUGUGGGACUUGACAUCUUUCUGCAGGGCCUGCAAGGCAGAGCUGUUCUGCCUGGUCUUUGGUUUGAAGUCAGUCUGACCCUUAUGUCUUCCCUCCCCUUACGGUUUUGAUCUAUGGGCUACUUUUAAAAUGAGGCUACAUUUUAAAUUGCAUUUUAACCUGUAUUUUAAAUUGGUUUUUUCCUAUUAUGUUUUUACUGUAAUUUUAUUGGUGUUAGCCGCCCUGAGCCUGGCUCUGGCCAGGGAGGACAGGGUAUAAAUAAAAUUUAUUAUUAUUAUUAUUAUUAUUAUUAUUAUUAUUGCAAGGAGAUGCCACCAGGGCUAAAGUCUGGUAGGAAGCACAAGCUCAAUGGGCCUCCUAAAUCCAGAGGGGAGGAAGUGGCUGGCGGUUGUCCAGUGUAACCCAAAGAAAGCUCUCUGCACGUGCUCAGAAGUGCAUUCCUUACAGCUUCAGGAUCUCCAACCAUUCAUUUCUCGGUUGCAGCCCAAGGCAGCGAAGCCACAAGGAUCCAGGGAUUCGUUUUCCGGUGCCGCCCAACCUAUCAACUGCUUACCUGCCCAACGUUGCUGGCUGGGGUCAGUCGAGUUUUCUUUUUCGCCCAUUGCUGUGACUUCUGCCUCUUUGGUCGUUUCCUGCUUGCCUGGGAUUGCACUGGGAAUUGCAGAUUGAGGACACGUAGGGAGACAGGCCCACAAGUCCCAGUGACCUGCAGAGUGGACCGUAAGAUUAUAAGGUGCUGCCCUAUAUGGAGCCAGAUCAUUGGUCCAUCUAGUUCAGUGUUGGCUACAUUGGCUGGCAGCAGCAACUUUCCAGCGUUUCAAGCAGAGGAUUUAUUGCCCAGGACUGAACCUGGGACCUCCUCCAUGCGAAGGAUGUGCUGUACCAAGGAGCAGUGGGCUCUUCCCCUGUUAUUUGGGGCAUCUACUUGGCAUGCAGAAGGCCUUGGGUUCCAUCCCUGGCAUCUCCAGGUAGGGCCAAGAUGGGAAAGGCUAAAACCCUGGACAGCCACCGACCGUCAGUGUACACCAGUAUUGAACUGGCCUAGUUCUUUAAAGACUUUUUUAUUUGAGUUUUUCAACAAUGCAAUUAUAGUAGCAUACAAAUAAAAAUGGGAAGUCAAAAUAGGAAUGAGGUUGACAUGAGUUAUAGUGUUUCAACCAUACAAAUAUACUGUAUCGCUCAGUAUGACGCAUGUCUCAAGCUAACCAAAUGUUCUCAUAUUUCUCCUCAUUGUGUACUUGUCAAUAAAUGGCCAGUUCAAAUAAGGGCAGGGAGUGCAAAUUGUUAAUCCACAGCAAUGACAAUGCCUUCUUCCAAUACUGAAGCACCUUGCAUUUGGCUGACCCAGCAGACACAUGUCACAGAAAAGGCCCGGUGGUAAAUUCCAAUUAUUGAGGAUGUAAUUCAGCAAAACAUUUUAAAUGCUGUGAGGUUUCUAAUACUAAAUUAAUAAUUGGUGGUGGAAAGAGGGAAUCAGAAAGUGAGUAUGGUAUCCCUUUCCAAGACUGGAGUACUUCAAUGCUUCUCAUGGCCCCAGGAGGACAACCCAGCAGAAUAUUGCAGGGUUAAUCUGUUUUCUUUUUCAGUAUUGCACAUAUAUUAUGGCUGCUGCCAAUAUCCGAUUAUCAGAGAACAAAAAGUUCCUGCUAAGCCAGCUCUUCUCAGCACUGUGCCUGCUGUUCUACAGCAGGGAUCUAUGCUUUUCCCUGUUCCUUAUUUCCACAAUGCAGAAUAUGCAGCGUUAGACCUUGUAAUUCAAAUAGUAACAAAACAAAGUUUUUAUUUCUGUGUCUCUUUAAGAUUUGGACUCAACUCCAGCUGGAGUUUGAGAAACCUGUAAAGCAGAGAGAUAAAGAGUUCAGUAUCCCAGGAUUCAUUUCCCAGAUGAUUUUAUUAUUCCCCAGAAAUACUUUUCUAACAUGUUCAGGAUUCAUGCCUCCACAUAUGCAUUCAUAAGAAUAGAUUUUGCAUGCAUUCUAACACUCCUUUGACAAGGGUUCACUGGUAGCUGUGUGGAAAUCUCUUGACUUGUUUCUUAAGUUUUUUGUUCCAGGAAAGCCAUACCCUGAGGACAGCCUAUAUACCGGUAACCCAAUAUGACUUCACAACACAUCUACUAAAAGGCUCUUCAGCAGACACCAAAUGACUGGAGAAAUGACAGCCGCAGAUGAUUGACACUAAUUCUGUAAAAAUUUCCAGAGGUGUAGUCACAUAAGUCUCUUGCAGCAAAAAAACAAAGGGUCUUGUGGCAUCUUAAAAACUGAUUAUGGCAUAAGCCUUUGUGGGCUGACAAGUGGCUUUGCAUCCCAAAGAGCUCCUGCUGUAAUAAAUUUGGUAGGGUGGUAUUCAACUAUGCUUCAUUCAGAAUCAACCCACUGAAAAUAAUGAACAUGUCUAAGUUACGUCCAUUGAUUUCAGUGAGUUUACUCCAAGUAAAACAUAGUUACUGUACAUAUCACCCUUUGGCUGCAAUCCUAUACCCCUUAACUGGAAGUAAGUUCCAUUGACCUUGUUGAGCCUUACUUCUGAACAGCAGACAAGUUUAGGAUUGUGUUGUUAGUCUUUAAGGUGCUACAAGCCACUUUAUUUGCUUUUUAUUUUUAUUUUUUUAAAAUGAGGCUGUCUAGUUUAAAAUAAAUUAAAGUUAGUAAUAAAUGUUGGAAAUGUAAAGAAAAAGAAGGAGCAUUUUAUCACAUGUGGUGGGAAUGUAAGAAGGUGAAAAGCUUCUGGGAAAUGAUAUAUAAUGAGAUGAAAAAAAUGUUGAAAUACACAUUUAUAAAGAAACCAGAAGCAUUUUUACUGGGCAUUGUAGGAAGUGAUAUAAGUAGAAAAGAUUGUAAGCUGUUUUUAUAUGCAACGACGGCAGCAAGAAUAUUAUUGGCACAAAAAUGGAAGCAAGAAGAAUUACCGACGAAAGAAGAACGGAGGAUGAAAUUAAUGGACUAUGCAGAACUAGACAAAUUAACAGGAAGGAUUCGAAAUCUGCAGGACCUGAAAUUCACAGAAGACUGGUGUAAAUUUACAGACUAUUUGAAAAGUAAUUGUGAUGAUCAGAUUACGUUUGUAGGUUUGCAAGAAGUUUUGUGAGGUGAAUUAUUGGUACUACUGCAAAAAUGGAUAAAGGGGAGGAUCGUUAGUUAGGAUACUUAAAGGCAAUAUGAACUUAAGAAAUGCAUAAGAAGUGAUAAAAACAGUGGAUCAUCAGAGGUGCUGAUGGAAGUCCAAAAAAAGAUUGUAUAAGUGGUG
This is a non-coding RNA of Podarcis lilfordi (Lilford's wall lizard), 4122 nucleotides long. The record is from the annotation of a GenBank genome assembly. NCBI's taxonomy places the organism in Eukaryota, Metazoa, Chordata, Lepidosauria, Squamata, Lacertidae.